This 1549-nucleotide ribosomal RNA is filed under the name Methylacidimicrobium fagopyrum. RNAcentral's name for it is "bacterial SSU rRNA". It matches the Rfam family "Bacterial small subunit ribosomal RNA". The record is from RNAcentral. Lineage: Bacteria; Pseudomonadati; Verrucomicrobiota.
AUUACGGAGAGUUUGAUUCUGGCUCAGAGCGAACGCUGGCGGCGUGGAUAAGACAUGCAAGUCGCACGCAGCUUGUUUCCUAGCAAUAGGAGGCGAGUUCAGUGGCGAACGGGUGAGUAACGCGUGGGAAUCUACUCCAAAGUGGGGAAUAGCCCGGCGAAAGCCGGGGGAAUUCCGCAUGUGGUCUAGCCUAGCUAGAUUAAAGCGGGGGACUCGAAAGGGCCUCGCGCUUCGGAAUGAGCCCGCGUCCUAUCAGCUAGUUGGCGGGGUAAAUGCCCACCAAGGCGAUGACGGGUAGCUGGUCUGAGAGGAUGGCCAGCCACACUGGGACUGAGACACGGCCCAGACACCUACGGGUGGCAGCAGUCGAGAAUUUUUCACAAUGGGCGAAAGCCUGAUGGAGCGACGCCGCGUGGAGGAGGAAGGCCUUCGGGUUGUAAACUCCUGUCACCGCAGAACAAGGUUCGCCUGCCGAAUAAGCGGGAGGACUUGAUAGUAUGUGGAGAGGAAGGGACGGCUAACUCUGUGCCAGCAGCCGCGGUAAUACAGAGGUCCCGAGCGUUGCUCGGAUUUACUGGGCGUAAAGGGUGUGUAGGAGGUUGGGAAAGUCGAAUGUGAAAUCCCUCUGCCUAACGGAGGAACUGCGUUCGAAACUACCCGGCUAGAGGUUCGGAUGGGGAAGCGGAACUCUCGGUGUAGCAGUGAAAUGCGUAGAUAUCGAGAGGAACACCGGUGGCGAAGGCGGCUUCCUGGACGAAACCUGACUCUGAAACACGAAAGCUAGGGGAGCAAACGGGAUUAGAUACCCCGGUAGUCCUAGCCGUAAACGGUGUGCGUUAGGUGUUGGCGGAUUCGACCCCGCCGGUGCCGAAGCUAACGCAUUAAACGCACCGCCUGAGGAGUACGGUCGCAAGGCUAAAACUCAAAGAAAUUGACGGGGGCCCGCACAAGCGGUGGAGCAUGUGGCUUAAUUCGAUGCAACGCGAAGAACCUUACCUGGCCUUGACAUGCAGCGUUCAGUCCCGGAAACGGGAUGGCCCGCAAGGGCGAGCUGCACAGGUGCUGCAUGGCUGUCGUCAGCUCGUGUCGUGAGAUGUUGGGUUAAGUCCCCCAACGAGCGCAACCCCUGUGUCUAGUUGCCGAAAGGCUCUCUAGACAGACUGCCCUCUUCAAGGGGGAGGAAGGUGGGGACGACGUCAAGUCAGGAUGGCCCUUAUGGCCAGGGCUGCACACGUGCUACAAUGCUCGGUACAAAGGGACGCAAGACCGCGAGGUGUAGCAAAUCCCCAAAACCGAGCCCAGUUCAGAUUGAAGGCUGCAACUCGCCUUCAUGAAGCCGGAAUCGCUAGUAAUGGCGCAUCAGCUACGGCGCCGUGAAUACGUUCCCGGGCCUUGUACACACCGCCCGUCACAUCCUGAAAGCUGGCUGUACCCGAAGCCGUUCUCUUGAGCGUCGAAGGUGUGGCUAGUGAUUGGGAUGAAGUCGUAACAAGGUAGCCGUAGGGGAACCUGCGGCUGGAUCACCUCCUUUCUAAGGAGUAGGUUCGGG